Molecule: non-coding RNA, 669 nt
Organism: Physcomitrium patens
Lineage: Eukaryota; Viridiplantae; Streptophyta; Bryopsida; Funariales; Funariaceae
Source: RefSeq, a predicted model, not a curated record
GGAGCUAGCCACAUUGCAGCACAACAAGGAGCUUCUCCUUCUCUUCUCACCACUCCAAGAGGUGCUCCUUACCAUGACGCUAGAUGAGAGUCACAGACAAAGGCAGGUUGUGGGGAAAGAUGUUCCAAUGGUUCUGAGAUGAGGCACAUGGCAUCUGUGUAUAUUGGAAAUGUCUAUCCUCUGCAAGGCCUGUUUAUGGCGACAGGGCAGCAGCAUGGGGAGCAAUGCUGUUUAGACAUAUGGUAACUUAUCGGAAUGGUCAUGUCCAUAUCAAUUUGUCAUGGUGUAAUUUACUGUAAAACUUCUUCACAAUUGUCAACAUGUUUCAGGAUGUUGUGAGGUUUUUUUGUUAGAUUGAGAUGGUAGGUUAGGAAUCAGGUUGAUAGGUGUAUAUAAUGGUAUGUAGAGAUCUAAGUGGAUAUGGUUUAUGUCAGCAACACAAUCAAUCUAUGAGGGUUGACAGUGUUGCAUUGAGGAAUGAUAAGGUGAGGUUUCAGGUAUGUGAAUUAAUUCACAAAGGUACUUAUAUGCAUGUGAGCAAUACUGUCCUUACUUGUAAGUAUCUAUUUCUUUUAAACUAGAAUUAGCAUAGAUAACCAUGUUUCAUUUCCAAGCAAAUGUACUGAUAUUGUUGAAUGUCAAAAUGUUUGCUCAACUUUUUAAAAGUUA